UCUAGAGGAUGAAGUAUAGCACUGGGCGCUGACGUUAAAUGAGCCGACAACGCUUAAUGGUGGGCCUCAGAAACCCAACCGCUACUGAAUAGA
Molecule: small nucleolar RNA, 93 nt
Filed under: Wallemia mellicola CBS 633.66
Lineage: Eukaryota; Fungi; Basidiomycota; Wallemiomycetes; Wallemiales; Wallemiaceae
Also listed under: 1 other name
Source: RNAcentral